This 147-nucleotide non-coding RNA is filed under the name Laticauda laticaudata (blue-ringed sea krait). Lineage: Eukaryota; Metazoa; Chordata; Lepidosauria; Squamata; Elapidae. The record is from RNAcentral.
GUGAAGCAUGAAAACAGAGAAGAUCAGAACUCCCCUUGAUAAGAAUUGAAAAGGUUCCUGCAAUCAGCACAAUGACAUCUAUGGCUAGGGUACUAAAGGAGGAAAAUCUAACAUUCCCCCCCUUUUAAUAUCUUGGUAAAAUUCUUU